Molecule: ribosomal RNA, 414 nt
Filed under: uncultured bacterium
Lineage: Bacteria
Description: bacterial SSU rRNA
Rfam family: Bacterial small subunit ribosomal RNA
Source: RNAcentral
UCGAGGAUCUUCGGCAAUGGGCGCAAGCCUGACCGAGCGACGCCGCGUGCGCGACGAAGGCCUUCGGGUUGUAAAGCGCUGUCGGGGGGGAGGAAAGCCCGCAAGGGUCUGACCUAUCCCCGGAGGAAGCACGGGCUAAGUUCGUGCCAGCAGCCGCGGUAAGACGAACCGUGCGAACGUUGUUCGGAAUCACUGGGCUUAAAGGGCGCGUAGGCGGCCGAUCGCGUCCGGGGUGAAAGCUUCCGGCUCAACCGGAAAAGCGCCCCGGGUACGGACCGGCUGGAGGGAGGUAGGGGCAGGUGGAACUUCCGGUGGAGCGGUGAAAUGCGUUGAGAUCGGAAGGAACGCCGGUGGCGAAAGCGACCUGCUGGACCUUUUCUGACGCUGAGGCGCGAAAGCUAGGGGAGCGAACGG